Molecule: long non-coding RNA, 958 nt
Filed under: Olea europaea (common olive)
Lineage: Eukaryota; Viridiplantae; Streptophyta; Magnoliopsida; Lamiales; Oleaceae
Description: long non-coding RNA (OEUR_LNC003853)
Source: RNAcentral
AUCGAGAGAAAUUUAGGGUUAUUGUGAGAAACUUUUGGUAAUGAGAUAUUUUGUAUCCAUAUGUAAAAGACCAUUAAGCCCCCUAUUUGGAAAUUAGUAAAAUAGAAUUGAAGGAUAAAAUGGGAAAAACAAAGUACUUCAUAAAUGAACAGUAAAUGGUGGAUUCACACUUUUAAGAGAGUACGGAUUAUUGCAUUUCACAGCCAACCAUGCCAUUCGGUAGUCCUUCAAUGGCACUAAUCACGUCCACAUCAUUGACCUCAACAUCAUGCAGGGCCUCCAAUGACCAGGAAUGUUCCACAUCCUCGCCUGAAAUUGCGUAAAAUCGAGUUCAUUCAAAUCAUCGGCCUUCGACCCUCCAUGAAGCUAAACAAGCCAGCAGUUACAAAAAGAUCAUUUAGGUAAUAGCUAAUAAUGCUCCAAAUCGAAAAGCCACAAGUCAAAUAAUUGGGUAUAGCUUUGGACACAACAUAUUGUUCACACUUUAAAUCUUUUUUGUAACGAACCGAGCCAUUUACCCAAGCCGUUAUAUCAUACGUAUUAACCAUUUUAGAAGUGCAUUUGGCCCUCUUACCCCUUACGACUUUCUGCUGCAUUCUCCAAGAUUUGAACCCAAUACAUUUCCCUUAAGAAUGAAUUAAAUUGAAUCAUGGUACCAAUUGGACAAGUGCUUCGAAGAACAUUGGUGCAGCGAUGAAAGUUGACAAACACUAAAUUUCAUAGGAGAAAUGCAAUUGGAAAACUGGAGUUCACAAUGAUGAAACGGUCAUAAAAAAUUUCAUCAUGAUAAUCUCUAUGAUAUUGGCAAUGUUUGAUGAAUUUGUGCAACUGAAAUUUUUUGAUGUAGCAGGGCGUGAUUUGCUUCAACAAUUCUUAUGCUCAAAAAAUUUAAACUUAUCAAGGGUAUCCUCCAAACUAUGAUGCAACAAGUAUAAAAUUUGUUAGUAUUAAACUAAAA